GAGUUUGAUCCUGGCUCAGAUUGAACGCUGGCGGCAGGCCUAACACAUGCAAGUCGAGCGGUAACAUUUCUAGCUUGCUAGAAGAUGACGAGCGGCGGACGGGUGAGUAAUGCUUGGGAAUAUGCCUUAGGGUGGGGGACAACAGUUGGAAACGACUGCUAAUACCGCAUAACGUCUACGGACCAAAGGGGGCUUCGGCUCUCGCCCUUAGAUUAGCCCAAGUGGGAUUAGCUAGUUGGUGAGGUAAUGGCUCACCAAGGCGACGAUCCCUAGCUGGUUUGAGAGGAUGAUCAGCCACACUGGAACUGAGACACGGUCCAGACUCCUACGGGAGGCAGCAGUGGGGAAUAUUGCACAAUGGGCGCAAGCCUGAUGCAGCCAUGCCGCGUGUGUGAAGAAGGCCUUAGGGUUGUAAAGCACUUUCAGUAAGGAGGAAAGGUUAGUAGUUAAUACCUG
This 456-nucleotide ribosomal RNA is filed under the name Pseudoalteromonas sp. B14. RNAcentral describes it as "bacterial SSU rRNA". It matches the Rfam family "Bacterial small subunit ribosomal RNA", at positions 9 to 471 of the family's 1533-position model. Lineage: Bacteria; Pseudomonadati; Pseudomonadota; Gammaproteobacteria; Alteromonadales; Pseudoalteromonadaceae. The record is from RNAcentral.